This is a long non-coding RNA of Parus major (Great Tit), 1149 nucleotides long. RefSeq lists it as uncharacterized. Lineage: Eukaryota; Metazoa; Chordata; Aves; Passeriformes; Paridae. The record is from RefSeq and is a predicted model, not a curated record. The transcript has 2 exons.
CCCUACCCGGCCCGGCCUGGCCCAGCUGUGGGGAGCGGGGCUCGGCCUCGUCCCGCGCUCUGCUGAGGGGCUGCGCCGGGAAGGGAGUGGGCCAGCGGUUCGCGCCUGGGCACCGGGGAGCGUCUGGCCUGGCGUCAUGGCCGGGCUGGAGGGAUGCGGCAGCUGACGGAAGUCCCCGGGGAACAGCCCCCGGCGAAUUAAUUGUAUUUCGCAUUAGGGACACAAAGGAACGCAAUGAGCGAGAUUAGAAACGUUCAGUGAGUUACCCUGACCGGCAAGUAACAAAUGUCGGCUAAACAUUACGGAAUACGAGAUUCCCCCUAGCCCAGUCCGUUGCAAGUCUCCCAGAAUCAAAGGUGGAGAAGGAGGGGGAGAGCAGGAAUUUCUGGAAACUUAUUACACCAGAAUAAGAAGCCAUCGUUUUGCUUAAAAAAAAAAAAAAACUAAUUUUUUUCCUGUCUUUGCUGUAGCAUUGGAGAACAAAAGUUGAUUCGUCUUAGAAAACAUCGGCACAAAAAUAAAGGCGGACGCACCUCCAGCAAAGUUGAGUCUGAAGUGCCAAUGUAUCAGUCACGGAAGCAUUCAGGACAUGGGGUCUCUGUGCAAGAAGCCCUGACUGCGAGAAGUGCCCCCAUACUGUAUUUUCACAUGUGAAGACCCGCAGCCCUGGCGAAUUAUUUUUAGAAUCAUGGCAAUGAGGAAUCACAAAUCAGCUCGCAACAUCAGAAAUAAAGGCCCUCGUGAUUCCAGUGGAUUUUCUCUGGUUUAGUCGCCUGUAAGUGAUGUAAAAAAAUCCAUUAAAUAUUCAACAUCUAUUCCCAUUUAAGAGAAAUUAAUCUGAGAAGCUGAACUAUCUCUGUUAUUUUUAAAUUAUCUGCAAAACUCUGUAGUCCAUGUUCUUAUUCAGCUACAUUAUGUGCCUGUCAGAAAUACUUAUCUAUAGACAACUAUAAUCCAUUCAUUUCUUGGUAUGCUCUUCAGGUUACAGUUGUAAAGCAUGGAAAAAGCCUCUUGUUCAAAAAUAAAUAGAAAAGAACACUAGCAAACUAAUAAUAAUAAAAAAACUCCCUCAUGCAUCAACAAACAUACCCUUCCACUUGACUUGAAAUUUCUCUAGCUGAGAUAAUAAACUUAGCAUCAAAUUCAUUA